Molecule: long non-coding RNA, 2405 nt
Organism: Cercocebus atys (sooty mangabey)
Lineage: Eukaryota; Metazoa; Chordata; Mammalia; Primates; Cercopithecidae
Exons: 4
Source: RefSeq, a predicted model, not a curated record
CACCUGUGCCCAUCUGUGCCUACGCACUGGUAUGGCCCCAGGCAGGCACACUGCAACACACACACGUGUACAUAAGAGUACACUCUGCAGUCAGGUAUCCACUGACAUGCACAUGAUCACGUACCACAUGCCCCCUACUCACGCAUACACAGUACUGACACACACAGCGGCACGCCCCACUCACAUACCCACACACAUGCGCACACCCACAUUCAUCUGUGUGCCUUCAUUCAUUCGGCAGUUAUUUACUGAGCACCUGUUGUGUGUCAGGCAAGCAUAGUGCCCACUUUGGGGCUACAGCAGUGAGCAAAAGGGACAAAAGCCUUGCCCACAUGGAGCUGACAUUCUAGGGAGCAGAGUCAGAUGACAAGAGCAGUAAAAUGCCUAGCAUUCUAGAAGGUUCCAGAUGGUAGGGACAGCCGGUGCCAAAGCCCCGAGGUACGAGCAUGCCUGUGCAUGUUCACACCUCAGCAGACUUCACAGGCGUGUAUGCCAGGACACGCAUGUACACAAGUGCUCACUGACCCGACAGCAGGCCCAGGCCCACAGGCACAGCAUCCCAUGUGUGGGUUAGGUUAGUGGCCACCCAGGAAGAGCUCCCGCCUCCUCUUCUUCCCUCCAAGCCCCCUCCCGACCUGCUGUCAGAUCCUCCCUAAGCAGCUCCGGCUGAAGCCAGGCCCCACUCAGUGAACUCAGUGUCACAGAUGCAGCUCCACUCCCUAAAGGCAGCCCCCUGCCUCCAAGCUAGCAGGGCAGGGGAUGGGGAUCCCCUUCCCCCAGCCAUGGAGGGAGACGAGAGGGGAAGUGAGGGAGGCCAGAGGGAGAUAGGAUCCUCAAACUCCACAAAGGAGAGACAGAUGCUGUGGGUGUGCCCUCUGGGGGCUGCAGGGACCCGGUUCAGCUGGAGGGAGAACUUCCCUCACUGAUGUGACCUGGGGCACAGGGAGGACAGAAUGCCCGGGAACCCCCUCCAUAAUCUAGGCCGGUAGGGGGCUCCGGACCCAACUGUACUCCCCACCCAGGGGCUUUGCCCCUCCCCCUGCACUCCAGGCCCUGGCACUCAUGGGGUCUAACUGCUCACGUCAUGCAACCUUGACCAUGUGAGUGAGGGCUCUGAGGUCUUAAAGAGGUCAAGGAGGCUGCAUGGAUGUCAUCUGGUGUGGCCACCCAUGCUGGAGCCACUCCUCAGCAUGUCAGGAGGAGAGGCCCCUUCCCUACCCACCCCAGGCUGGUACCCAGCUGGGACCCAGGCUCCAGUCCCAGCUCUGCUGUGGCCACCUUGAGGGAGCCUGAUACAUCAUCGCCUUCCUCUCCUGCCUCACAGCAUGCCUCAGAAAUGGGAGGACAUCACCCACCCUUCCACUGCACCCCAGGACUCCAGGAAGACAACAUGCAAAGAGCCUGGGUGCGGCAGAUGAAGCCACAAUAUAGUCAAGCCCCUCCCCCUUGCUGGCAGCAAGAACAGGACCCAAAUCUCAGAGGGGGAGGUGGGGUGGGCCUACUGGAUGUGCCAGGCACCAGGACCAGGUCACACUGGGCCAAAGCUGUCAUGGUGCAGGCCCUGUGCACAGAACCACAGAACAUGCUCAACAAGCCCCCUAAGCUUAGGGGCACUGACCUAUCCUGGGGACCAGUAAUCUUCAAGAUGAGAAAGCGGAGGCACAGUGGUGCCCUGAUACGGCCAAGAGAAGGACUGUGGGUAAGCAGCAGAGCUAGGAACAGACCCCAGCUGCCCCCGCUGGCAAAUGCACAGAACCAUUACAUCAUCCCACUCCGAGACCCAACCAAGAGGUACCCACACCCUGUGGCAGCAGGGGCUGAAGGCCUGGAAAUAGGAGAGGAGGCCCCCAUAUACUCCAGCACCCAAGGCCAUGAGAGAAACUGAGGCCCAGGAAUGUGCUAGGUCCGUAAGGAGGAAGGUGGGAAGGGCUGGGUGGUGAGCUUCUUCAGAGCUGAGGUUCUUCUCUGCCACCCUCUCCUGUCUUGCAGGCCUCAAACCGCGUCAGGCCCCUUGAGAGCUCCUAUGGAUCAACAGUGUCUGGGGAGAGCCAGAGCCCCGGGACAGAUCGGGGGCUGCCUAAGACCCUCAGACGGCCCAGCUGGCACAGAGUCAACCGUUCAAUCUAGUCCAAGCCUGAAUUCUUGGGGUCUGGGUCUGUGGGGUGUCCAGAAUCCUGAAGUGGGAUGACUGAGGCUUGGGGGUGCCCCUGCCUGGGCUGCUCAGCCAGUAGGCGUGAAUAAGGGUUCCCACCUCCCAAGUCACAGAGGGAGAGAAACUGAGGCACUGGAAGAGCUGCUUCUCUCUUCCACAGGACUCCACAGGAAUCUGGGGCUUGAAACUUCGACCCUGGUUCCCUGCCCUGCAGCCCUGAUAGGUUCACACAUGAAGGAAUGUUCUCAGUGCA